ACGUGCCAGGGCCUAACCACGCCCCCCCCCCAAAAAACACCCAGGUGCACCCCUGCCGGCCCUCUGCCUCCUCUCCCACAACACCGGGCCUGUUCCAAGUGAACAGAAGGAGAAAGACAGGGCUUUGGAGUCAGAUUCACUGGGUUCCAGCUCAGAACUCUCUGCUUUUUUAGCUGGGUGGUCUUCUGUGGUCCGGUCUGCGUAAUGAAGAGACCCUCUCUCACGCUGUCGCAGUCAGAGUAAAGCUUAACCCUGAUUGGGGAUCCGGACCUGCCCCACUCCCCACCCCACCAGGUCUCAUUCAAUCUGUGCUGGGCAGGACCCCCAACUGCUGUUUCUGGCUGAACUUCCCAGAAGACCUCGGUCACAAAAUGAGAGCCACAGUGCCUGGCCCAGCUUCCAUGGGGAAGGUGACAUCAUGAGGCUUAACGGAAUUACAGCUCACUCCAUCAGGACGUCUCCCAGAUGAAUCCCACAGCAGAGUACAACAUUCACCCAAAUGCUUUCUGGAUGCGAUGAGCAUCCCCAAGACUCAAUCCAGGCCCCGAGUUCUCCAGCUGCUGAGACUGCUAGAAAUACAAGGAGAACAGACAGGAGUGAGGAGGGCCUAGGGUUUUGUGACUUGGCAUUGGAGCUCCUCACCUACUGAUCUCUUGAUCCACCAGCUAAUCCUCAACCCUGGAAUCCACGCUCUCUGGCCCUUCCUGGCCUCCCCUCUGUGAUCCCAGGUAGGUGUGAAUGGAGCCUCGAUGCCCCUACUUCCGGCUGACUUCACUCCACCCCAUCCUCCAGCUUCUGAGAUACUAGAGGGUUAAAGCUGGACCCACAGAGGGUGAGGAUCACCUCUACCAUCACCCAGGGAGGCUCCAAGUGCAGCAUGAGUGGACCCAAAGCAGAGCUCUUAAAGAAGCCGAGUCAUUGAAAUACAGUGCAAGAGUCAGCCCAGUUUCCAGUGUGAAGACAUUAAGAGACACCUCAUGUUAAAAAUGGGAAGCUUGCUGGUACCCCUCACACCGCAUGCAUGGAUGAUAAAUGACGUAAAGUGUUUAGCAAGGGUUUGACAUAUACUAAGCAUUCAAUCAGUGGUUGUUGCGGUUGUUCAGUUGCUAAGUCAUGUCCUACUCUGUGACCCCAUGAACUGCAGCAUGCCAGGCUUCCUUGUCCUUCACCAUCUCCUGGAGUUUGAGCAAACUCAUGUCCAUUGAGUUGGUGAUGCCA
Bubalus bubalis (water buffalo) is the source of this 1218-nucleotide long non-coding RNA. RefSeq lists it as uncharacterized. The transcript is spliced from 3 exons. Lineage: Eukaryota; Metazoa; Chordata; Mammalia; Artiodactyla; Bovidae. The record is from RefSeq and is a predicted model, not a curated record.